Acanthochromis polyacanthus (spiny chromis) is the source of this 1818-nucleotide long non-coding RNA. RefSeq lists it as uncharacterized. The record is from RefSeq and is a predicted model, not a curated record. Lineage: Eukaryota; Metazoa; Chordata; Actinopteri; Pomacentridae. The transcript is spliced from 2 exons.
AGAUGGACGUAGCACCCGUGACGUCCCCGUUAAUUUCGGCACUGAAGAAAAUGAAGCCUCUUCCUUGUUGACAUCCUCGAUUUUUGGAGCCAGUGACGACAGCAAGGGCGGAGCCGGAGAGCAGUGAUUGGUCAGACUGGCUGACAGCUGAGGACUUCCUGUCCCGCCCUCAUUUACGGACUUCUGCUGUUUAUCGAUGCUGCUGCUAACAACGUUAGCUUCCAAAAGUCGAGCUAAACUCCACAGGAUAGCCAUUUUUGUAACUAGUUGUAGUCUUCUCCACAUCUGGACAACAUCACACAUAAAGCAGUGAAGUUACUUCUUGUUCUGGAUCAUUGGGAACAUCUGGUCUGAUGGACUGAGAGCUCCAGAGAACAUGAACAUCCAGCUGUGGUUGUCUGAACAGUCUUCUCUCCUUCAUCACUGAUGUCCUCCUCAUCCUUCCAUUAAUAACAAUAAUGCUGCAGAUUCAGCUCCUCUCUUCAGAAUACAACUGGUCUUGUGACUGUUCAGUUUUUAUACAUCAAUGUCAGCAACACAUUAUUUAUUUUGUCAUGAGUCGAGGGUCUGGACCCGUGCGGAGGAACACGCUACCAGGGCGGAAUUGGGUGUAAAACAGGUUUAUUGUAAGGGGUGGAGAUGGGCCGGGAAGCAGUUGAGGUGGAUAGGGGGUUCUGGCUGCAGGGAGGGAGUUAAGCCGGGGAUUGACGGCCGUGGCGGCUCCGGUGGGGAGCAGAGUGUGGCGGCAGAUGUUUUUAAAAAAAAAUUUAAACCCUCAUGAAAAGAAUCUCAGAUUCUAAAGCUCUGAUUCAAAGAAAGACAUUUGGUCUAGUGUAUUAUGACUUCUUUGUCAGUACAGGUAGAUCCAAUUAAUUCAACACGAUGAUCCAUAGCGCUGAUGGAUGCGUGAGACAGGCUGUGGAAGUGGCGAUCUUUAGCUCAUUGGUUUUUCUGGUCUCGUUUUGUUCUGUGGUGGUGGAACCAUUGUCCGUAAGCCUCAUGGACAGAAAGGUGCAGAGCUGUUUUUGUGCUUUUCGGUGACAGCAUGUUGUAUUAGAUGCUAAAACUGCAUGGUGAGCCUGUAUCUCACAUUCGCAAAAUCUGGAGUUGCCACCUUUCAGAAAUGACAAUAAAGGACGCCCACCACGGCUCCUCGGGGCCACGACCACCCAACGAGUGGAAUAUUGUAUUUUUAAAAAAGCAUUUCAAUGCAGAAUACUGUGUAAAUAAAUUCUCUACAAACGUAUUUUUCUAAAUCUAAAUGUUAUCUUAAUGCAAUUAAUUUAUUAAGCCAUUUAUGUGUGUAUGCAUGUAUUGAUUGAUUUAUUCAGUACUGUUAACAUAAGAGAGUUCUGAGUGAGUUUUUCUUUAGAUAGGCAAAGUCUAUUUACUGAUUACAUACAGGCUAUUUAAAAAAUGUUUAUUAAAAACUUAAAGGCACUGAAAAAUAAUAAAGAACUUAGACAUUUAUUGAGUCACUAAAAUACUGUCAAGUCUACGGCCACAUCAGCAUGAUUAUAAGUUUUAGGUGUAAACCUUAUUUUUACAAAGCGUAGUGAUUCAGUUCAGUGUACCUGUUUCUUGUAAAUGGCAAUAAGCUCUAUUCUGUUCUAUUUGAUCUCCAUGUAAUAUGUAUAUAACAGCCUAUAGCUGUAGAGAGAUAGAUAGAUAAAUAUGAAUUAUUAUUUGAUUACCUUUACAAUUAAAUCUAUAUAUGUAUAAUUUUCUCCCUGUCUUUUUUGUUCAUAUAUUUUUAAGAAGUUACAAUGUAUAUAUUUAAUGGCUGAACGUAAAAGAUUUUCUGACCUCUGGACCAAA